This 314-nucleotide ribosomal RNA is filed under the name uncultured fungus. RNAcentral's name for it is "eukaryotic LSU rRNA". The stretch from base 1 to 52 matches the Rfam family "5.8S ribosomal RNA", at positions 103 to 154 of the family's 154-position model. Lineage: Eukaryota; Fungi. The record is from RNAcentral.
AACGCACCUUGCGCUCCUUGGUAUUCCGAGGAGCAUGCCUGUUUGAGUGUCAUGAAAACCCUCAACCCUAGAUUGGUUAAAACCUUUCUUUGGUUUGGAUUUGGACGUUUGCCGAUGAUAAGUCGGCUCGUCUUAAAAGUAAUAGCUGGAUCUGUCUCGCGACAUGGUUUGACUUGGCGUAAUAAGUAUUUCGCUAAGGACGUCUUCGGAUGGCCGCGUUGCAGGACUAAAGACCGCUUUCUAAUCCAUUGACCUUCGGAUUAAUACUCUUGACAUCUGGCCUCAAAUCAGGUAGGACUACCCGCUGAACUUAA